This 271-nucleotide ribosomal RNA is filed under the name uncultured bacterium. RNAcentral's name for it is "partial 16S ribosomal RNA". It matches the Rfam family "Bacterial small subunit ribosomal RNA", at positions 524 to 791 of the family's 1533-position model. The record is from RNAcentral.
UACGUAGGGUGCAAGCGUUAAUCGGAAUUACUGGGCGUAAAGCGUGCGCAGGCGGUUCUAUAAGACAGAUGUGAAAUCCCCCGGGCUUAACCUGGGAACUGCGCUUGUAACUAGCGGGCUAGAGUGCGGCAGAGGGGGGUGGAAUUCCACGUGUAGCAGUGAAAUGCGUAGAUAUUCGCAAGAACACCAGUGGCGAAGGCGGCUCACUGGCCCGGAACUGACGCUGAGAUGCGAAAGCGUGGGGAGCAAACAGGGAUUAAGAAACCCCAGU